Molecule: ribosomal RNA, 497 nt
Filed under: uncultured bacterium
Lineage: Bacteria
Description: partial 16S ribosomal RNA
Rfam family: Bacterial small subunit ribosomal RNA
Source: RNAcentral
GAUGAACGCUGGCGGCGUGCCUAAUACAUGCAAGUCGAGCGAACAGACGAGGAGCUUGCUCCUCUGACGUUAGCGGCGGACGGGUGAGUAACACGUGGAUAACCUACCUAUAAGACUGGGAUAACUUCGGGAAACCGGCGCUAAUACCGGAUAAUAUAUUGAACCGCAUGGUUCAAUAGUGAAAGACGGUUUUGCUGGCACUUAUAGAUGGAUCCGCGCCGCAUUAGCUAGUUGGUAAGGUAACGGCUUACCAAGGCAACGAUGCGUAGCCGACCUGAGAGGGUGAUCGGCCACACUGGAACGGAGACACGGUCCAGACUCCUACGGGAGGCAGCAGUAGGGAAUCUUCCGCAAUGGGCGAAAGCCUGACGGAGCAACGCCGCGUGAGUGAUGAAGGUCUUCGGAUCGUAAAACUCUGUUAUUAGGGAAGAACAAAUGUGUAAGUAACUAUGCACGUCUUGACGGUACCUAAUCAGAAAGCCACGGCUAACUACGUG